AAAGCUCGUAGUUGGAUUUCUGUUAAUAAUUUAUAUAAUAUAUUUUGAUAGAUAUUUAUAUAAUAUUAACAUAAUUCAUAUUACUAUUUUUUUUAGUAUAUGAAAUUUUACUUUGAGAAAAUUAGAGUGCUUAAAGCAGGCAUAUGCCUUGAAUACUCCAGCAUGGAAUAAUAUUAAAGAUUUUUAUCUUUCUUAUUGGUUCUAAGAUAAGAAUAAUGAUUAAUAGGGACAGUUGGGGGCA
This 241-nucleotide ribosomal RNA is filed under the name Cryptosporidium cuniculus. RNAcentral's name for it is "partial small subunit ribosomal RNA". The stretch from base 102 to 241 matches the Rfam family "Eukaryotic small subunit ribosomal RNA", at positions 746 to 890 of the family's 1831-position model. Lineage: Eukaryota; Apicomplexa; Conoidasida; Eucoccidiorida; Cryptosporidiidae. The record is from RNAcentral.